This 496-nucleotide ribosomal RNA is filed under the name uncultured Actinomycetes bacterium. RNAcentral describes it as "bacterial SSU rRNA". It matches the Rfam family "Bacterial small subunit ribosomal RNA", at positions 355 to 861 of the family's 1533-position model. The record is from RNAcentral. Lineage: Bacteria; Bacillati; Actinomycetota; Actinomycetes.
UGGGGAAUAUUGCACAAUGGGCGCAAGCCUGAUGCAGCGACGCCGCGUGAGGGAUGACGGCCUUCGGGUUGUAAACCUCUUUCAAUAGGGACGAAGCGCAAGUGACGGUACCUAUAGAAGAAGGACCGGCCAACUACGUGCCAGCAGCCGCGGUAAUACGUAGGGUCCGAGCGUUGUCCGGAAUUACUGGGCGUAAAGAGCUCGUAGGUGGUUUGUCGCGUUGUUCGUGAAAACUCACAGCUUAACUGUGGGCGUGCGGGCGAUACGGGCAGACUAGAGUACUGCAGGGGAGACUGGAAUUCCUGGUGUAGCGGUGGAAUGCGCAGAUAUCAGGAGGAACACCGGUGGCGAAGGCGGGUCUCUGGGCAGUAACUGACGCUGAGGAGCGAAAGCGUGGGGAGCGAACAGGAUUAGAUACCCUGGUAGUCCACGCCGUAAACGGUGGGUACUAGGUGUGGGUUUCCUUCCUUGGGAUCCGUGCCGUAGCUAACGCAUU